UACGUAGGGUGCAAGCGUUAAUCGGAAUUACUGGGCGUAAAGCGUGCGCAGGCGGUUAUGUAAGACAGAUGUGAAAUGCCCGGGCUUAACCUGGGAACUGCAUUUGUGACUGCAUGGCUAGAGUUUGGCAGAGGGGGGUAGAAUUCCACGUGUAGCAGUGAAAUGCGUAGAUAUGUGGAGGAACACCGAUGGCGAAGGCAGCCCCCUGGGUCAAUACUGACGCUCAUGCACGAAAGUGUGGGGAGCGAACAGG
RNAcentral lists this ribosomal RNA (253 nucleotides) under uncultured bacterium. RNAcentral describes it as "partial 16S ribosomal RNA". It matches the Rfam family "Bacterial small subunit ribosomal RNA", at positions 524 to 776 of the family's 1533-position model. The record is from RNAcentral.